UGAACUUUGCAGUCUUAUGCUCCUCGAAAGUAUGCUUUUAUCUACUCUGCUGUGGCAACUAUUGCCCCAAGUGCAGGUCCCUCCAGCUGAGUCAUCUUGCAAGCUAAAUUAAGCCUCACCAACCGAUCACCACGUACCAAUUAUUAGGAAACUAUUAGAACUAGGACAAAGGCACCGUCAGAUUCACAGGUGACUGCAUAAAGGGAUGCAGCAAAGAAGGGAGGAAGAUGAGCAAGGAUGCUAGCACGGACCCCUCCCCACUCCUUACAAGAUGGGAACGUUUGAUCUCUCCCACAGGAAAUCACAUCAUAAUGGCAAAUGGACCUGCAAUUACUGAAGAAAAUCACGUCAGGAGCAUGGCAAAGUUGACUACACUCGGAAAGGCGGUUCCUGGAGCUUUAACGGGCAUCGGUACAGGCAAGCCCUGCCCGUACCGUUCGCCCGUACCACCUGCGGCUGCGUUCCCGUGGUGAAACACUAUAAAAGUCAUGAAGGGAUCAACGCUGAAAAGAGAGCCAUUCGUCGCCAAACAGAGCCGCCAUCCACCAGAUACAUCUGGACCACACCGAAGGAUAUCCAUCACCAUAGUUCAUCCAUUCCAUCUCCCAUCUCCUCCAUAGCCAUAGCCAUCACCAUUGUAAUAGAUAUCUCCUUGAGAAUUGGCGACCAUUGUAAGAAUAUUGUGAUUUCAAUGUAAGUAUUUUGCACAA
Molecule: non-coding RNA, 710 nt
Organism: Lolium perenne
Lineage: Eukaryota; Viridiplantae; Streptophyta; Magnoliopsida; Poales; Poaceae
Source: RefSeq, a predicted model, not a curated record